CCUACGGGGGGCAGCAGUGGGGAAUAUUGCACAAUGGGGGGAACCCUGAUGCAGCAAUGCCGCGUGAAGGAUGACGGUUUUCGGAUUGUAAACUUCUUUUUUACGGGACGAAGAAAGUGACGGUACCGUAAGAAUAAGCCACGGCUAACUACGUGCCAGCAGCCGCGGUAAUACGUAGGUGGCAAGCGUUAUCCGGAUUUACUGGGUGUAAAGGGCGAGUAGGCGGGAUUGCAAGUCAGAUGGUAAAACUAUGGGCUGCACCGAUAGAGUGCCUUUGAAACUGCAGUUCUUGAGUGAUGGAGAGGUAUGCGGAAUGCGUGGUGUAGCGGUGGAAUGCGUAGAUAUCGGGAGGAACACCAGUGGCGAAGGCGGCCUGCUGGACAUUAACUGACGCUGAGGCGCGAAAGCGUGGGUAUCGAACAGGAUUAGAUACCCGAGUAGUC
RNAcentral lists this ribosomal RNA (443 nucleotides) under uncultured bacterium. Its description in RNAcentral is "partial 16S ribosomal RNA". It matches the Rfam family "Bacterial small subunit ribosomal RNA", at positions 338 to 795 of the family's 1533-position model. The record is from RNAcentral.